ACGUGAUAUGUCUGUCAUUUUUCUGAUUUUUUAUCGAAAGUGAACUGUUUUAGUAUUUGUUUUUUUUGGGUUUUUUUUCGUGUGGCCGUCCGUCUGUUAUUCAGUAUUGAGGGGUCAGUAUUCGUACAAGAACACAUAUGAAACGUUGCUUUCGAUAAUUUUGAAUAAAAACUGUUCACAUUUAUUUGGGGGCUCAAUUAAGCAGAGGGAGUUCAUUUUGUAUUGUGAAUCUUUUAAGAUAUCGGAAAUUCGUUACAGGCUGAAAUAGCUGUUGGAUCGUUUUUUUAAGUCUCCCGAUCGUACGAGAACAUUAUGGUCAAUGCCUUAGUAGGUAAACAC
This 339-nucleotide long non-coding RNA is filed under the name Mytilus galloprovincialis (Mediterranean mussel). The record is from RNAcentral. Lineage: Eukaryota; Metazoa; Mollusca; Bivalvia; Mytilida; Mytilidae.